Molecule: ribosomal RNA, 253 nt
Filed under: uncultured bacterium
Lineage: Bacteria
Description: partial 16S ribosomal RNA
Rfam family: Bacterial small subunit ribosomal RNA
Source: RNAcentral
UACAGAGGGGGCAAGCGUUGUUCGGAAUUACUGGGCGUAAAGGGCGCGUAGGCGGCCUGUUAAGUCGAACGUGAAAUCCCCGGGCUCAACCCGGGAACUGCGUCCGAUACUGGCAGGCUUGAAUCCGGGAGAGGGAUGCGGAAUUCCAGGUGUAGCGGUGAAAUGCGUAGAUAUCAGGAGGAACACCGGUGGCGAAGGCGGGUCUCUGGGCAGUAACUGACGCUGAGGAGCGAAAGCGUGGGGAGCGAACAGG